AUUGAACGCUGGCGGCUGGCCUAACACAUGCAAGACGAACGAGUGCCGGACGGGUGUGUAAUGUCUGGGAAACUGCCGGAUGGAGGGGCAUAAAUACUGGAACCGGUAGCUAAUACCGCCUAUCAUCCGAUGUGCCCUGAUGGGAUUAGCUAGUGGGUGGGUUAACGGCUCACCAAGGCGAAGAUACCUAGCUGGACGGAGAGGAUGACCAGCCACACCGGAACUCAGACCCGGUCAAGACUCCGACGGUAGGCAGCAGUGGGGAAUAGUGCACAAGGGGCGCACGCCUGAUGAAGCCAUGACGCGUGUAUGAGGAAUGCCUGCGGGUUGUAGAGUACGUUCAGCGGGGAGGCGUUACCCGCAGAAGUAGCACUGGCGAACUCCGUGCCAGCAGCCGCGGUAAUAC
This 406-nucleotide ribosomal RNA is filed under the name uncultured bacterium. Its description in RNAcentral is "partial 16S ribosomal RNA". It matches the Rfam family "Bacterial small subunit ribosomal RNA", at positions 29 to 526 of the family's 1533-position model. The record is from RNAcentral.